UGUGCAUAUUACCAAUAACUGUUAGGUGAGGUGCAUAUCAUCGGUGGGACUACAGCAUCCACUAGGAAUCUUUUAUCACGUUAGGAUUUUCAUUUUCUUUCUGGGUGGGGAGUGGAUGGAUCCGAUAAAUUAGUGAGAGUCAUUAUUUACAUCUUAAAGUUCUUAUAAGUAAAUUUAAAUAUUAAGUACAAAAAUCUAACUUGAAUCUCUAC
RNAcentral lists this long non-coding RNA (212 nucleotides) under Elaeis guineensis (African oil palm). RNAcentral's name for it is "long non-coding RNA (EGUI_LNC059946)". The record is from RNAcentral. Lineage: Eukaryota; Viridiplantae; Streptophyta; Magnoliopsida; Arecales; Arecaceae.